Long non-coding RNA from Monopterus albus (swamp eel), 343 nucleotides. RefSeq lists it as uncharacterized. The record is from RefSeq and is a predicted model, not a curated record. The transcript is spliced from 3 exons. NCBI's taxonomy places the organism in Eukaryota, Metazoa, Chordata, Actinopteri, Synbranchiformes, Synbranchidae.
GUUCAUUACGCUCUCAAGGCUCACUAUGCCCUGCUUUUCUUGUCCUGUUUAUCAGCACGGAUUCAGGACAUUAUCAACACUUCUACCUUCAUCUCCUCACCUGUGUUAGUGACGCCGAUGACUCUUCUGACUCCGUCUACUUGCUAGUAAGUGCCAGAAUCUCCUGCGAUGCGGUCGCUAUUCCUGUCCAGCACUACCAGCUGCUUGUUCCGGAUUUGCCAGCAACAAUGUCAACUCUACUGCCCCUAUUUCCUUACCUCCACGCUGACCCACCAGUGUGUUCCUGGCCCUGCAGUUCCCCCCAAGUUCUCCACUGCCUGCCUGACUCCCCUGAGUGUUCCUA